AAAUUGAAGAGUUUGAUCAUGGCUCAGAUUGAACGCUGGCGGCAGGCCUAACACAUGCAAGUCGAACGGUAGCACAGAGAGCUUGCUCUCGGGUGACGAGUGGCGGACGGGUGAGUAAUGUCUGGGAAACUGCCUGAUGGAGGGGGAUAACUACUGGAAACGGUGGCUAAUACCGCAUAACGUCGCAAGACCAAAGAGGGGGACCUUCGGGCCUCUUGCCAUCAGAUGUGCCCAGAUGGGAUUAGCUUGUUGGUGAGGUAACGGCUCACCAAGGCGACGAUCCCUAGCUGGUCUGAGAGGAUGACCAGCCACACUGGAACUGAGACACGGUCCAGACUCCUACGGGAGGCAGCAGUGGGGAAUAUUGCACAAUGGGCGCAAGCCUGAUGCAGCCAUGCCGCGUGUAUGAAGAAGGCCUUCGGGUUGUAAAGUACUUUCAGCGGGGAGGAAGGUGUUGUGGUUAAUAACCGCAGCAAUUGACGUUACCCGCAGAAGAAGCACCGGCUAACUCCGUGCCAGCAGCCGCGGUAAUACGGAGGGUGCAAGCGUUAAUCGGAAUUACUGGGCGUAAAGCGCACGCAGGCGGUCUGUCAAGUCGGAUGUGAAAUCCCCGGGCUCAACCUGGGAACUGCAUUC
RNAcentral lists this ribosomal RNA (636 nucleotides) under Salmonella enterica subsp. enterica serovar Infantis. RNAcentral describes it as "bacterial SSU rRNA". It matches the Rfam family "Bacterial small subunit ribosomal RNA", at positions 1 to 628 of the family's 1533-position model. The record is from RNAcentral. Lineage: Bacteria; Pseudomonadati; Pseudomonadota; Gammaproteobacteria; Enterobacterales; Enterobacteriaceae.